Molecule: unclassified non-coding RNA, 289 nt
Filed under: uncultured fungus
Lineage: Eukaryota; Fungi
Description: partial contains small subunit ribosomal RNA, internal transcribed spacer 1, and 5.8S ribosomal RNA
Rfam family: Eukaryotic small subunit ribosomal RNA (bases 1-73)
Source: RNAcentral
GCAAACUUGGUCAUUUAGAGGAAGUAAAAGUCGUAACAAGGUUUCCGUAGGUGAACCUGCGGAAGGAUCAUUAAAGAGUAAGGGUCUUCUAGGCCCGACCUCCAACCCUUUGUAUAAUUUACCUCUGUUGCUUUGGCGGGCCCGCUGGGGAGACCCACCGCCGGCCUUGGCUGGUGAGCGCCCGUCGGAGACCACCUAAACUCUGUUAUCUAUGAAGUCUGAGUACUCUAUAAUAGUUAAAACUUUCAACAACGGAUCUCUUGGUUCUGGCAUCGAUGAAGAACGCAGC